This is a long non-coding RNA of Arvicola amphibius (Eurasian water vole), 520 nucleotides long. RefSeq lists it as uncharacterized. The record is from RefSeq and is a predicted model, not a curated record. The transcript is spliced from 2 exons. NCBI's taxonomy places the organism in Eukaryota, Metazoa, Chordata, Mammalia, Rodentia, Cricetidae.
UUGGAGGCGGCAUGGAAAUGGAAACUAAUUGAAAGUCACAGUGACAUUGUUUUGACUUUUAAAAAUAUUUAAUGUUCUGGUGGUUCGGGGAUAGGAUUGCUGAUAUAGUCUAUUAUAUACUUAAAAAGCAUGAUGCUGCCUCAGCUCCGUAUCCAAGAAACAUUGUUCUUUAAAGGCAAAAAAUUUCAGUUUAGAGGGACGGUUUUCUAAAGGCAUAGGGAGGCAUGGAGUUGGGUGGUUUAAAAUUCUAAGCUAAGGGGCUUUAUUGAAGUAUGAUUCCCUAUUAUCACAAGCCUGCAGCUUUGCCCCAAACUCCAUAUCAUUCUGUAUUCCUGUCUGCUGCGAUGGAGAAAGAGGCCAGAGUAUGCAACUGUCUCUUCAAAAGUGAGAAAAGGCGAACACACCCAGGCAUCCUCAAAUCUAUUCUUCCUGGCUCAGGGGAAUGAAGUGGAAAACUCAAGAAAAAGAAGAAUCCUGUGUUUGAAAUUAAUUUGAAAUAAAAAUUACUAAAACAAUAUCA